AUUGGGUAGGGGAGCGUUCUGUAAGCGGUUGAAGGUGUGUGGUAACGCAUGCUGGACGUAUCAGAAGUGCGAAUGCUGACAUGAGUAACGAUAAAGGGGGUGAAAAACCUCCUCGCCGGAAGACCAAGGGUUCCUGUCCAACGUUAAUCGGGGCAGGGUAAGUCGACCCCUAAGGCGAGGCCGAAAGGCGUAGUCGAUGGGAAACGGGUUAAUAUUCCCGUACUUCUUACAAUUGCGAUGGGGGGACGGAGAAGGCUAGGUGGGCCUGGCGACGGUUGUCCAGGUUCAAGUGCGUAGGCUUAAGAGUUAGGUAAAUCCGGCUCUUUCUAAGGCUGAGACACGACGUCGAGCACCUACGGGUGUGAAGUCAUUGAUGCCAUGCUUCCAGGAAAAGCCUCUAAGCUUCAGAUUGUAAGGAAUCGUACCCCAAACCGACACAGGUGGUCGGGUAGAGAAUACCAAGGCGCUUGAGAGAACUCGGGUGAAGGAACUAGGCAAAAUGGUACCGUAACUUCGGGAGAAGGUACGCUCUCGACGGUGAAGUCCCUCGCGGAUGGAGCUAUUGAGAGUCGCAGAUACCAGGUGGCUGCAACUGUUUAUUAAAAACACAGCACUGUGCAAAAUCGUAAGAUGACGUAUACGGUGUGACGCCUGCCCGGUGCCGGAAGGUUAAUUGAUGGGGUUAGACUUCGGUCGAAGCUCUUGAUCGAAGCCCCGGUAAACGGCGGCCGUAACUAUAACGGUCCUAAGGUAGCGAAAUUCCUUGUCGGGUAAGUUCCGACCUGCACGAAUGGCGUAAUGAUGGCCACGCUGUCUCCACCCGAGACUCAGUGAAAUUGAAAUCGCUGUGAAGAUGCAGUGUACCCGCGGCUAGACGGAAAGACCCCGUGAACCUUUACUACAGCUUGGCACUGAACAUUGACCCUACAUGUGUAGGAUAGGUGGGAGGCUUUGAAGCACAGUCGCUAGAUUGUGUGGAGCCGUCCUUGAAAUACCACCCUUGUAGUGUUGAUGUUCUAACGUUGACCCCUAAUCGGGGUUGCGGACAGUGCCUGGUGGGUAGUUUGACUGGGGCGGUCUCCUCC
RNAcentral lists this ribosomal RNA (1085 nucleotides) under Vibrio parahaemolyticus. RNAcentral's name for it is "partial 23S ribosomal RNA". It matches the Rfam family "Bacterial large subunit ribosomal RNA", at positions 1223 to 2290 of the family's 2925-position model. Lineage: Bacteria; Pseudomonadati; Pseudomonadota; Gammaproteobacteria; Vibrionales; Vibrionaceae. The record is from RNAcentral.